GCCACGGUGCGACCGUUGUCGGUGCCGUAGGGAAGCCGUGAAGCGAGCCACCUGGGAAGUACGGCCGCAAGGCUGAAACUUAAAGGAAUUGGCGGGGGAGCACCACAACGGGUGGAGCUUGCGGUUUAAUUGGAUCAACGCCGGAAAUCUUACCGGGACCGACAGCAAUAUGAAGGCCAGGCUGAAGACUUUGCCGGAUUAGCUGAGAGGUGGUGCAUGGCCGUCGUCAGUUCGUACUGUGAAGCAUCCUGUUAAGUCAGGCAACGAGCGAGACCCACGCCCACAGUUGCCAGCGUACUCUCCGGAGUGACGGGUACACUGUGGGGACCGCCGCUGCUAAAGCGGAGGAAGGAAUGGGGCAACGGUAGGUCAGUAUGCCCCGAAUAUCCGGGCUACACGCGAGCUACAAUGGUUGGUACAAUGGGUAUCUACCCCCGAAAGGGGACGGAAAUCUCCUAAAACCAAUCUUAGUUCGGAUUGAGGGCUGCAACUCGCCCUCAUGAAGCUGGAAUCCGUAGUAAUCGCGUUUCAACAGAACGCGGUGAA
RNAcentral lists this ribosomal RNA (546 nucleotides) under uncultured archaeon. RNAcentral's name for it is "bacterial SSU rRNA". It matches the Rfam family "Archaeal small subunit ribosomal RNA", at positions 777 to 1322 of the family's 1478-position model. The record is from RNAcentral.